GCAGCAGUGGAAGUACACUAGACUGAGGUCCACCCUCACAGAGUCUUGGCGUUGGUUACACCAAGCUUCAGUGCAUCCCUCAGCACCAUCUUAAACCAGAUUGGGUGAGAUUGCAUAUCCUGUAACCGCACUGAACAAGAAGCAGACUUAUUUCUGCCAACUGUGCACAUACCACUCGAAGAACACAAGUAGAAUUUCUUCUCAUUUGCCCACAGUUAAGAAGUAAGAGCAUUUGAACGAACUGCAGGAGCUGAUUAAGCAGCUAAUCUUCUGCAACGUAUAUCCAUCAACUGGCUUUUAACACGGCAGAGUGAGUUUAUAAACAAAGGCUCAUGUUUGAAAAAGUACAAAGAAAAUAAAAUGCGCCAACUGAA
Amblyraja radiata (thorny skate) is the source of this 374-nucleotide long non-coding RNA. RefSeq lists it as uncharacterized. The record is from RefSeq and is a predicted model, not a curated record. NCBI's taxonomy places the organism in Eukaryota, Metazoa, Chordata, Chondrichthyes, Rajiformes, Rajidae. The transcript is spliced from 2 exons.